AGUUACCAGCCAGUAGCUGUGGACAAAAACAGAUUUUGUGUGUGUGUGUGUGUAUUUUCAUAUACGUAUGUAUAUCAUAAUAUCACAGGACCAGUUACUUUUGCAUUGGACCGAAGAUGUAUGUAUUAAUUACUGUUUGUGUUCUAUUUGUACUGUUCUGGAAAGACUUCUGGAGGUAAAAUCUAGGUUUUUUGAUUCCACUUCUUGCUUCCUUCCUUCUUCCCUCCUCUCCCUUCCCCUCCCCUCCCUUCUCAUCCCUUCCCGUUCCCUUCCUCCCCCUUCCCUCCAUCCCCCCCUCCCCUCCCUCCCCUCCCUCCCCUCCUCUCUCCCCCUUCCCCUCCCUCCCUCCCUCUCCCUCCCUCUCCCCUCCCCUCCCCCCUUGACGGAGUUUAGCUCUUGUUGUCCAGGCUGGAGUGUAGUGGCACGAUCACGGCUCACUGCAACUCCACCUACCGGUUUCAAGUGAUUCUCCUGCCUCAGCCUCCCUGCGUAGCUGGGAUUACAAGGGCUGCCACCACGCCCGGCUAAUUUUUUUUUUAUUAGUAGAGACAGAGUUUCAACAUGUUGGCCAGACUGGUCUUGAACUCCUGACCUCAGGUGAUCCACCUGCCUUGGCCUCCCAAAAUGCUAGGAUUACAGGCGUGAGCCACCAGGCCCGGCCGGUUCUACUGCUUUCUAUAUUCUGAAUACUUUCACUGUCAGACCUUAUUUAACAAGAAUCAGCUAAUCUUUAUUCAAUUAUUUUGGUCAGUUAAUACAACUAGAAGUUAGGGGAACUUGGAGAAGUAUGUCAACAAUGUGUCAAUAGUCCUACCACAUAAUUAAUAAUUCUGUUCCCUUUUCAGUCCCCUUCACAGUUUUUGUUUUUUCGAGACAGAGCCUUGCUCUGUCACCCAGGCUGGAGUGCAGUGGUAUGAUCUCAGCUCAAGGCAACCUCCGCCUCCCAGGUUCAAGCGAUUCUCCCGCCUUAGCCUCCUGAGUAUCUGGGACUACAGGUGUGCGCCACUACAGCUGGCUAUUUUUUUUACUUUUAGUAGAGACGGAGUUUCACCAUAUUCACCAGGCUGGUCUCGAACUCCUGACCUCAAGCGAUCUACCCACCUUGGCCUCCCAAAGCGCUGGGAGGCAUGAGCCACUGCGCCCAGCCUCGCUCAACUAAUUUUUUUUAUUUUUAGCAGACACGGAGUUUUCGCCAUGUUGGCCAGGCUGGUCGCAAACUCCUAAGUCCUUUCUUUUUCCCCCCAGUGGUUAUCUGGUUACCUGUUGUUGUUUUUUCCUUUUUGUUUUUUUUGAGAGUCUCACUCUGUCGCCAGGCUGGAGUGCAGUGGCAUAAUCUCGGCUCACUGCAACCUCCGCCUCCCGGGUUCAAGUGAUUCUCCUGCCUCAGCCUCCCGAGUAGCUGGGACUACAGGCAUGCACCACCAUGCCUAGCUAAUUUUUGUAUUUUUAGUAGAGACAGUAUUUCACCAUGUUGGCCAGGCUGGUCUCAAACUCCUGACCUCAGGUGAUCCCCCUGCCUUGGCCUCCCAAAGUGCUGGGAUUACAGGUGUAAGCUAUUGUGCCCGGCCUUUUUAAGUUUCUGAUCUGAUAUAUUCUGUGUGGCUGACUGCUGCAACUUUAGUUCAUCUGUCUUAAAAUGAAAAGGGGCACAAUAAUAUUUUUUUCUUUACUGAGACAGGUUCUCACUGUUGCCUGAACCACGAGUGCAGUGGCACAAUCACCACUCACUGCAGCCUUGACUUCCGGGUUCAAGCCAUCCUCUCACCUCAGCUUCCUGAGUAGUUGGGACUACAGUUGCAUGCCACCAUGCCUGGCUAAUUUUUGUGGUUUUGUUUUUGUUUUGUUUUUGAGAUGGAGUCUUGCUCUGUUGCCCAGGCUGAGGCAGGAGAAUCGCUUGAGCCUGGGAGGCGGAGGUUGUGGUGGGCCAGGAUCACGCUACUUUACUCCAGUCUGGGCGAUGGAAUGAGACACAGUCUCAAAAAAAAAAAAAAAAUCCAUUAAUAUAGGAGCAUUAUUAACUGCCCUUACUGCCUUUUCAGGCAAAAGGGAUUCUAUGAAAUAUUUUUACGAAUAUCUUAGAAUAUGCAACUGAAUUUGAUUGGUUAACACUGAAAUAAACUUGCUAUUAAAAAGAAAACUAAGGCCCAGUAUGGAGGCUCACGCCUGUAAUCCCAGCACCUUGGGAGGCCAAGGCAGGUUGGAUCACCUGAGGUCAGGAGUUUAAGACCAGCCAGGCCAACAUGGUGAAACCCUGUCUCUACUAAAAAUACAAAAAAUUAGUCGGGCGUUGUAGCGGGCACCUAUAAUCCCAGCUACUUACUUGGGAUGCUGAGGCAGGAGAAUUGCUUGAACCCGGGAGGCACAGGUUGCAGUGAGCCGAAAUUGCACUGUUGCACUCUAGCCUGGACAACAUGUGUGAAACUCCAUCUCAACUAAAGAAAAAAAAGGAAAACUAGGCCGGGUGCAGUGGCUUAAUGCCUGUAAUCCCAGCACUUUGGGAGGCCAAGGUAGGUGGCUCACUUGAGGCCAGGAGUUUGAGACCAGCCUGGCCAACAUGGCGAAACCCCGUCUCUACUAAAAAUACAAAAAUUAAUCAGGCAUGGUGGUGCAUGCCUGUAAUUCCAGCUACUCGGGAGGCUGAGGCAGGAGAAUUGCUUGAACCCAGGAGGCAGAGGUUAAAGACCCUGUCUCAAAAAAAAAAAAAAAAAAAAAAAAAAAGGAAAACUAGGCUGUGUGAAGGGUGAAGGUGGCUCAUGCCUGUGAUCCCAGCACUUAGGGAGGGUGAGAUGGGAGGAUCACUUGAGUCCAGGAAUUUGAGACCAGCCUGGGUAACAUAAGGAGACCCCAUCUUUUAAAAAUAAAAAAAAAAAAAAAACAAAAAUAGCCAGUUGUGGUGGUGCGCGCCUGUAGUCCCAGCUAUUUGGGAGACUGAUAUAGGAGGAUUGCUUGAGCCCAGGAGUUUGAGGCUACAGUGGGCUGUGAUUGAGGUACUGCACUCCAGCCUGGGCCACAGAGUGAGACCCUGUCUCAAUAUCCUCCACCUGCCACCCCACCCCUCCACAAAAAACAAACAAACAAAAAAACUAAAAAUAUGUAUACUAUUAAGCUCUUAGUAAAAGUUUCCUUUCAUAGAAAAUAUAGAAUUUUUGCAUUCACUUUGCACUUUGAAUCAGUUUUUUCCCGGUUUAGAAACAACCCUAAUGAGAGACAAUUCAUUUGGAAAAUUGGAUGGGUUCCAGUUUUUUUGCUGUCAGAGAAUUGGAUAAAUAGCCUAUAUCAUGUGAUAAUUACUAUAAAGCAAUGAAGCUUGACAGUGAGGUGAGGGAUUUGAAAACAUACAGUUAAUAAGCAAGGCGAAUUACUACCCUGUUUGUAAAUAUGGAUACAUUUCCAAGAGUGAAAAAAAGAAGUUGAUACCAUUUAUGUUAAAUAUAACCAAAACAUGUUACAUGUUAUCUGGCUACAUGUAAAUAUACAUAAAACAAGUGGACUAGAAGGCUGCACAGGACUUGCAGUGGGACCUCUGGGAAUAGGGGGAGCAGGAUCCACCCGGAGCUGGAAGGGGCCGUAGAGCUAGAGUUCCCUGUUCUUAUUUAAAAAUCUUCAUGUCCUUGGGCCAGGCGCGGUGGCUCACGCCUGUAAUCCCAGCACUUUGGGAGGCCGAGGCAGGUGGAUCACAAGGUCAUGAAUUCAAGACCAGCUUGGCCAGGAUGGUGAAACCCCAUCUGUACUAAAAAUACAAGAAUUAGCCGGGCAUGGCGGCAGGCGCCUGUAAUCCCAGCUACUAGAGAGGCUGAGGCAGGAGAAUUGCUUGAACCUGGGAAGUGGAGGUUGCAGUGAGCCAAGACUGCACCAUUGCACUCCAGCCUGGGCAACAGCGAGACUCCGUCAAAAAACAAAACAAAACAAAAAAAAACUUCAUGUCCUUAUAUAUUUGUGUAAUUUAGAAAAGAACAUAAACAACAAAUAUGGGAAAAGAUGAACAAUGGUUAAUUCUGUGGAGUGGGAGCAUGGUGGGUGAUUAUUUUGUUUAUGCUUUUAGGUAUGUUUCCAACCAUCAAACCAAAAAAAAAAGAAAAAGAGAAACAGAUCCUUGAUCUUAACAGGAAAUGGCUGUCAUUAUGAGUAUUAUUUCUAUUCCCUGUUUUCAUAGAAAAUGUGGACACAGACUUGCCAGGCAGCCUGGGGCAGAGUGAAGAGAAGCCCGUGCCUGCUGCGCCUGUGCCCAGCCCGGUGGCCCCGGCCCCAGUGCCAUCCAGAAGAAAUCCCCCUGGCGGCAAGUCCAGCCUCGUCUUGGGUUAGCUCUGACUGUCCUGAACGCUGUCGUUCUGUCUGUUUCCUCCAUGCUUGUGAACUGCACAACUUGAGCCUGACUGUACAUCUCUUGGAUUUGUUUCAUUAAAAAGAAGCACUUUA
RNAcentral lists this long non-coding RNA (4416 nucleotides) under Homo sapiens (human). Its description in RNAcentral is "HSALNT0391708". The record is from RNAcentral. Lineage: Eukaryota; Metazoa; Chordata; Mammalia; Primates; Hominidae.